GGACCCGCACAAGUAGUGGAGCAUGUGGUUUAAUUCGAAGAUACGCGCAGAACCUUACCAACACUUGACAUGUUCGUCGCGACUUUAAGAGAUUAAAGUUUUCGGUUCGGCCGGACGAAACACAGGUGCUGCAUGGCUGUCGUCAGCUCGUGUCGUGAGAUGUUGGGUUAAGUCCCGCAACGAGCGCAACCCUCACUUUUAGUUGCCAUCAUUUAGUUGGGCACUCUGAAAGAACUGCCAGUGAUAAGCUGGAGGAAGGUGGGGAUGACGUCAAGUCCUCAUGGCCCUUACGUGUUGGGCUACACACGUGCUACAAUGGUAUUUACAACAGGAAGCAAAACGGCAACGUUAAGCAAAUCCUUAAAAAAUACCUCAGUUCGGAUUGCACUCUGCAACUCGAGUGCAUG
Molecule: ribosomal RNA, 407 nt
Filed under: uncultured bacterium
Lineage: Bacteria
Description: bacterial SSU rRNA
Rfam family: Bacterial small subunit ribosomal RNA
Source: RNAcentral